CACAGACAAUCCACAUCAAGGGUAAACCCGUCACCACAUAGUCCCAGUAAACCGUGCCAGGCCGUAGACUGGGGUCCUGGUCUUCCUGUCCUGUAUAUGUAUAUGUGUAUAUAACACCUGUACUUACCAUUUGCCAGGCAUAGACCUGAAACCUGGUCUUACUAUACCUGCCAGGCCGUAGAAUGGGGUCCUGGACUUUCCUAUACUUGCCAGGC
Molecule: long non-coding RNA, 215 nt
Filed under: Manihot esculenta (cassava)
Lineage: Eukaryota; Viridiplantae; Streptophyta; Magnoliopsida; Malpighiales; Euphorbiaceae
Description: long non-coding RNA (MESC_LNC010216)
Source: RNAcentral